RNAcentral lists this unclassified non-coding RNA (205 nucleotides) under Hevea brasiliensis (rubber tree). Lineage: Eukaryota; Viridiplantae; Streptophyta; Magnoliopsida; Malpighiales; Euphorbiaceae. The record is from RNAcentral.
GUAAGCUAAAAGAGUUCUGUUUGUGACUACAAACUUUAACAAGAAACAUAACAAUCAUGUUCCGAAGAACAAACUAAGCCAAAAACCAACAGACCUAGAAAACAAGAAUCUGGGUUUGAAUUAACCAGUAAGCUCAGCUUCCUUGUGUGUCUCAACGACAACAUCAGACUGAGGAAAAGCAACACAAGUGAGAACCCAACCAGCC